Long non-coding RNA from Equus asinus (donkey), 2841 nucleotides. The record is from Ensembl. NCBI's taxonomy places the organism in Eukaryota, Metazoa, Chordata, Mammalia, Perissodactyla, Equidae.
UAGCUGGCAGCAUCUUAGAUUUUAUUGACUGGAUGGUAUCUCUCACGACAUGGGAGUUGAACAAAUUUUCAGACUAGGUUUGAUUCAAAGGGAGAAGAUUUCACAAAGAUUUUGCACCUCCAAAAUUACAAUAAUGUCUCAAGUUUCCCCCACUGCACCCAAUUUUGUCCCUCUCGGAAAUACAACUUUGCAGCCACCCACAUCCUUAGGAUGGGAUGUGGAUGAGGGAAUGGGUGGAGGGAAGCUCAUCUGGAGAGGCAGCUGUUGCUAUUUCCUUAUUCUCUGACAUGAACUGCUUCAUCUCAGCCCUUGACAUUCAAAAUAGGCCUUGACUAGCCUCCCCGGCACCCCUGCUAAACUUCAUAAAUCAUACAGUCUAGGUUCUGCAUGCAAAAAAGAAGGAAACAGACACUCCUCACUUAUCCACCUACGGGCGAGUUUUCAUAUGGCCCUGACUGGCUCUGAGCCUGGAGCCAUAUUCAGCUAGCUGAAUUAGCUGCUAAGACAGGAAAGGAUGGAAAACUGUUACGCAGAUAUCUGGCUACUCAAGGCCUUUCUGGCUCCAGGGACCUCAGCAGCAUUGAGGCAAGGCUGCAGAUCUCAAGUUCAGCCUGUGCUCAUUUCCAAUGAUCUUUUCAUAUUAGCCCACUAAAUGUCCAUUACUGUUACUCUUCGAUGCUGGCUGAUUUGUAGAUCUAGUUGGCUGAACUCUGUUGAGACACUCAGCUUUUUUGAGUCCAUUCCAAUCUGUAAAAGAAGAAGAAUGUACUACCUAGCUGGCAACACGGUUAUGAGAAUUAAAAGAGAGAAUAUUUAUAAGGUACUUCAUAUAAUUACUAAGACAUAUACAAUACAUAGACAUACACAAUAUAUAAUCACAAUUCUAUUAUGUUAUUUAGCAAGCAUUUCCUGAGUACCUAUUAUCUGUCUGGUAUUGUAUUAGGUACUUUACAAAAAUGUCUCAUUUAUACAAUUUCUAUUACUGUCCCCAUUUCACAGCCAGAGAGUUCUAAAAGGUCAAGUACUUACUCAAGGUCACAUUAGCUAUUACUUGGUAGAAAUUAUUACUAGGGUGACUAUAAUUAUUAUUUUUGUCAUAUGGAGCCCAACCUUCUAACAAUACAUAAAUCCCAUCUAAGGAUUGCACACAUCCAUGUGCAAACACAAGCAGAGAUUCUCAGACAGACACACCUGAAUAGACAAGGCCACACCCACAUUACAGCAAACAUAGGCUUCUCGAAGUAUAGAAUUCCCCUCUUUCCAUUUACUUUCAGGAUGUCCUCCUUUGUAUUUCUCUUCUCAGUGUUCCACUCAUCUGGUAGAUUAAUGCAGGUGGGAUUCUAAUAAUGGCUUUAUUGCAAUAAUUUCCCUGGGGUAGCUGCAUCUUAACAGAUGAAUUGUAGACCCCACAGUACAAAAGCUGUCAGAAUUAUUUGUUCUUAGGGGAAUUUCAGCCUAUAGUAGGAAGACAAAAGAAGGAAUCCUGGGGAAAGAUCAUUCAUUCAUUCAGAGUAAUGUUAUUGAUCACCAGUUAUGUGCCACACACUGUGCAAAGCUCUACAGAGAAAGCCAUCACGAGAGAGACAUGGUCCUUGACCUCAUAGGUAUUAGAAUCUGCUGGUCUUACAAUUGAUCUUAACCAUGCCCUCCCAAUGCCACCUAUAGGUGGAUGAAGAUAGUCACAAUCUGGGGAUCAUAGUUCCAUUUAGAAUCCUUAUUGUGGAUUCCCAGAAUCCUGGAGCUGUGCUAUCCAAUAUGGUAGCCACUAGCCACAUGGGCUAUUUAUGUUCGAAUUCAAAUUUAUUAAAAUUAAAUAAGGUUAAAAAUUCAGUUCCUGGUUGCACCAGCCACAUUUCAAGUGCUCGAUAGCUCCAUCUGGCUAAUGGUUACCAUCUUGGGGGGCACAGACAUAGAAUUCUUCCAUCAUUGCAGAGGUUUUCAUUGAAUAGCACUAGACUAGAGUAUCAAAGAAUGAAGAUAGUUUAAAGAUGUUCAAAUUCUACCCGCCUCAUGGUACAAAUGGUGAUACUGAGGCCCAGAGAGUGAUGGCCAGAGAUGAGUCCAUAGUUAGCCCAGCUAUAAAUGGAAUCUUUCACUGCCUUUGCCAAAUAAUAUCGUCCCCCUCAGCCCUGCCCAUCCAGCUUGUCAGCCUCCCUUCCCAAACCAAGGAUAAGGAGUCAUUGACUUCAGAUUUGACAUUGCUGUAUGGGCUCCAGGGGUAAGACCUGGCCUUCAGAAGAAGCCAUUCUCCAGAGGUGACUGCUGUCUCCCUAGGAAGUUGUGUGCGUAAAUAACUACAAAACAACAAUGAGGAAACCUUCCCUUUAUGUGUGGGGAACUUGGCAUGCAUUAUCUCUUUUAAGUCUUCCCCCAAACCCAAAAGGUUGGCAUCAUUAUUACAGAUAAGCAAACCAAGGUUCAGAAAGGUGAGCCAGUUGCCCGAGGUCACCCAGCACAGAGAGAGAAAUCUGAAUGGGAAUCUGGGUCUCUUGACUCCGGAGCCUAUUGCUGUUUGCCUCCAUUCUAAUCUACCAUUUCAUUUUAAACCUUCAUUUUACCAGGGUAAAAAGCAAUUAUAAUUGCAGAUUUUCCUCUUUCCUGGCCUUGCUUCAAAUUCAAAUAUCAAAACAAAUGUAAAACCAAAGUUUAAACAAGAACCAUCCCCGCUGGAAAAGCCACACGUGUUCUGUUCCUUGCCCCGUUUUUAUCAGCUCUGUGCACAUCUCCAUACUGCAGCCCCUGGAAACACUUCUGUGGGAACUGGAAGGAUCUGGAAGGGGCCAUAGUUGAGAAACCAUCGCUGAGAGACCAGGACUCCUGCUGGAAGCUCAGGGCUGCACC